This is a long non-coding RNA of Mytilus californianus (California mussel), 999 nucleotides long. RefSeq lists it as uncharacterized. The record is from RefSeq and is a predicted model, not a curated record. The transcript has 2 exons. Lineage: Eukaryota; Metazoa; Mollusca; Bivalvia; Mytilida; Mytilidae.
AUUUAAUAAUGAUGUCGCUAAUAGACGUUACCCCUUACGACGUCGCAAGCAGCCAUAUCCAUGCAUGAAUAUCUGUGAAACAGUGAAACCGGACAUAGUGUUAUGAAUAGUGGAGAAACAUUAGAUGAAUUAAAUUAAAUUUGCAUAGUACCAAAUAUGCAGCUGAUGCCAUCGGACAUUUUUUUUACACAGAAUUCAAUUUCGAAUAAAUUUGGAAUCUCAACAAACCAUAGUGGCACGCGUAUUGGAGAAACGUUAGAUGAUCUUAUAAAUGGAUCAGCUACAGUUGCAAAUAUUCCUAGAAUCAGCGUGUGUUGGUGGGAAGGAAAGUGGUUCACACAUGACAAUCGAAGACUCUGGGUAUUCCGAAAAGCGGAAAAACUCGGAAUAAUAAAUUCCAUUCCAGUGUAUACAACUUCGAUUUCCAAGGUGGAUUCAAACAAAUUUACAACAUGUAAUGAGGGAUCAAGUGUGAAUGUACGAGGUAAUGCUGGUGGAUCAGCUUGGCGUCGGCGCAGUACAGGGAGAUCUAGAAAUCAAUACCUAGACCAUAAUAGUCAAUCCUUAAAUCUCACGAAUUUGGAUAAUUAUCCCGAAACAACAAUUUAUUCUAGAUCCACAGAUAAUACACAUCCUGCGCCAACAUAUACUCAUUCUGUGCCAACACGUCGUUUGUCUUCUUCUUUUCCAGAUAAUUCUCGUUCAAAAAGAUCUCGCUUUUCGGAUUCCGGAUUGACAAAUUUUUCAGGACAAUCUAUGUUUGAACAAACAAAACCGCCUAGAAAUACAGAUAGAAUUCCAGGUUACAUAUGUGCCUUGUUCUUAUUUGUGUGUUUAUAUUUCUUGUUCUUUUGAAACCAUUUUGUUUCAAGACAUUAUUAUCAGUUAUUUUAUGUAUAAAUGUCUACUUAAUUGUAUUAAUACUAUCAAAAUCAGACGUUUACAGCCGAUCGACAUGUGUUUGGUUUAUAUACUUGUAAUAAAUGCAUGUGAGUUGUA